CCAAGGAGUCUAACAUGUGUGCGAGUCGUAGGGUGCGUACGAAACCCGAAGGCUAAGUGAAAGCACGGGCCGUUGCCAGACGGCCGAGGCGGGAUCCGCCCGUUUUUCCGGCGACGGAAGCGGGCGGCGCACCGCCGGCCCGUCUCGACCGCAGCGUCGGUGAGGCGGAGCAAGAGCAGACACGUUGGGACCCGAAAGAUGGUGAACUAUUCCUAGGCAGGACGAAGCCAGAGGAAACUCUGGUGGAGGUCCGUAGCGUUUCUGACGUGCAAAUCGAUCGUCAGACCUGGGUAUAGGGGCGAAAGACUAAUCGAACCAUCUAGUAGCUGGUUCCCUCCGAAGUUUCCCUCAGGAUAGCUGGCUCUCGAGAGAAACACAGUCUCAUCCGGUAAAGCGAAUGAUUAGAGGCCUUGGGGCCGAAACGACCUCAACCUAUUCUCAAACUUUCAAUGGGUGAGAAGUCCGGCUUGCUCGACUGAAGCCCGGACGUCGGAUGCGAGUGCCCAGUGGGCCACUUUUGGUAAGCAGAACUGGCGCUGUGGGAUGAACCAAACGCCGGGUUACGGCGCCCAAUGCGACGCUCAUCAGACACCAUGAAAGGUGUUGGUUGCUAUAGACAGCAGGACGGUGGCCAUGGAAGUCGGAAUCCGCUAAGGAGUGUGUAACAACUCACCUGCCGAAGCAACUAGCCCUGAAAAUGGAUGGCGCUCAAGCGUCGAGCCUAUACCCGGCCGCCGGGGCAGAGCCCGAAAAAAAAGGCAGCAGACGCCCCGGCGAGUAGGAGGGUCGCGGCGGCGAGCGGAAAAGGGUCGGGCGUAGGCCCGCCUGGAGCCGCCGCCGGUGCAGAUCUUGGUGGUAGUAGCAAAUACUCGAGUGAGAACCUUGAGGACUGAUGUGGAGAAGGGUUCCAUGUGAACAGCAGUUGAACAUGGGUCAGUCGGCCCUAAGGAAUAGGGAAAUCCCGUUCCGAAAUUGGGGUUCGUUUAAGAAAAACAAAUCCCCGAGCAAACCGAAAGGGAAUCGGGUUAAUAUUCCCGAACCCGGACACGGAGAUCGGGCCUCUAUCGGUCCAGUGCGGUGACGCAAACGCCCUCGGAGACGUCGGCGGGAGUCCCGGGAAGAGUUGUCUUUUCUUUGUAAGGAACGGAAUCCCUGGAAUCGGUUCGCCCGGAGAUAGGGAUGUGGUUUCCGUAAAGCACCGCGCCUCCUGCGGUGUCCGGACAGCUCUCGUCGGCCCUUGAAAAUCCGAGGAAGGCAGUGCGAUUUUCGUGCCGGGCCGUACCCAUAUCCGCAGCAGGUCU
This 1301-nucleotide ribosomal RNA is filed under the name Pilbarascutigera incola. RNAcentral's name for it is "eukaryotic LSU rRNA". It matches the Rfam family "Eukaryotic large subunit ribosomal RNA", at positions 666 to 1866 of the family's 3401-position model. The record is from RNAcentral. Lineage: Eukaryota; Metazoa; Arthropoda; Chilopoda; Scutigeromorpha; Scutigeridae.